UACGUAGGGUCCGAGCGUUGUCCGGAAUUACUGGGCGUAAAGCGCUCGUAGGUGGUUUGUCGCGUUGUUCGUGAAAACUCACAGCUCAACUGUGGGCGUGCGGGCGAUACGGGCAGACUGGAGUACUGCAGGGGAGACUGGAAUUCCUGGUGUAGCGGUGGAAUGCGCAGAUAUCAGGAGGAACACCGGUGGCGAAGGCGGGUCUCUGGGCAGUAACUGACGCUGAGGAGCGAAAGCGUGGGGAGCGAACAGG
Molecule: ribosomal RNA, 253 nt
Filed under: uncultured bacterium
Lineage: Bacteria
Description: partial 16S ribosomal RNA
Rfam family: Bacterial small subunit ribosomal RNA
Source: RNAcentral